CCCCUUGACAAGACUGACGCUCAGGUGCGAAAGCGUGGGGAGCAAACAGGAUUAGAUACCUGGUAGUCACGCUGUAAACGAUGUCGAUUUGGAGGUUGUUCCCUUGAGGAGUGGCUUCCGGAGCUAACGCGUUAAAUCGACCGCUGGGGAGUACGGCCGCAAGGUUAAAACUCAAAUGAAUUGACGGGGGCCCGCACAGCGGUGGAGCAUGUGGUUUAAUUCGAUGCAACGCGAAGAACCUUACCUACUCUUGACAUCCAGAGAAUUUAGCAGAGAUGCUUUAGUGCCUUCGGGAACUCUGAGACAGGUGCUGCAUGGCUGUCGUCAGCUCGUGUUGUGAAAUGUUGGGUUAAGUCCCGCAACGAGCGCAACCCUUAUCCUUUGUUGCCAGCACAUUAUGGUGGGAACUCAAAGGAGACUGCCGGUGAUAAACCGGAAAAAGGUGGGGAUGACGUCAAGUCAUCAUGGCCCUUACGAGUAGGGCUACACACGUGCUACAAUGGCGUAUACAAAGAGAAGCGACCUCGCGAGAGCAAGCGGAACUCAUAAAGUACGUCGUAGUCCGGAUUGGAGUCUGCAACUCGACUCCAUGAAGUCGGAAUCGCUAGUAAUCGUAGAUCAGAAUGCUACGGUGAAUACGUUCCCGGGCCUUGUACACACCGCCCGUCACACCAUGGGAGUGGGUUGCAAAAGAAGUAGGUAGCUUAACCUUCGGGAGGGCGCUUACCACUUUGUGAUUCAUGACUGGGGUGAAGUCGUAACAAGGUAACCA
This 772-nucleotide ribosomal RNA is filed under the name uncultured Providencia sp. RNAcentral's name for it is "bacterial SSU rRNA". It matches the Rfam family "Bacterial small subunit ribosomal RNA", at positions 727 to 1502 of the family's 1533-position model. The record is from RNAcentral. Lineage: Bacteria; Pseudomonadati; Pseudomonadota; Gammaproteobacteria; Enterobacterales; Morganellaceae.